GCCGGGCAUGAUGGCUCAUGCCUGUAAUCCCAGCACUUUGGGAGGCUGAGGUGGGUAGAUCACCUGAGGUCAGGAGUUUGAGACCAGCCUGACCAACAUGGAGAAAUCCCAUCUCUA
Molecule: non-coding RNA, 117 nt
Filed under: Callithrix jacchus (white-tufted-ear marmoset)
Lineage: Eukaryota; Metazoa; Chordata; Mammalia; Primates; Cebidae
Source: Rfam by way of RNAcentral